GUGGGGAAUAUUGGACAAUGGGCGCAAGCCUGAUCCAGCCAUACCGCGUGGGUGAAGAAGGCCUUCGGGUUGUAAAGCCCUUUUGUUGGGAAAGAAAUCCUGUCGGUUAAUACCUGGCGGGGAUGACGGUACCCAAAGAAUAAGCACCGGCUAACUUCGUGCCAGCAGCCGCGGUAAUACGAAGGGUGCAAGCGUUACUCGGAAUUACUGGGCGUAAAGCGUGCGUAGGUGGUGGUUUAAGUCCGUUGUGAAAGCCCUGGGCUCAACCUGGGAAUUGCAGUGGAUACUGGAUCACUAGAGUGUGGUAGAGGGAUGCGGAAUUUCUGGUGUAGCAGUGAAAUGCGUAGAGAUCAGAAGGAACAUCCGUGGCGAAGGCGGCAUCCUGGGCCAACACUGACACUGAGGCACUAAAGCGUGGGGAGCAAACAGGAUUAGAUACCCCUGUAGUCC
This 450-nucleotide ribosomal RNA is filed under the name uncultured bacterium. Its description in RNAcentral is "partial 16S ribosomal RNA". It matches the Rfam family "Bacterial small subunit ribosomal RNA", at positions 354 to 796 of the family's 1533-position model. The record is from RNAcentral.